Molecule: ribosomal RNA, 456 nt
Filed under: uncultured bacterium
Lineage: Bacteria
Description: bacterial SSU rRNA
Rfam family: Bacterial small subunit ribosomal RNA
Source: RNAcentral
UACGGAAGGCAGCAGUGGGGAAUAUUGCACAAUGGGCGAAAGCCUGAUGCAGCUAUGCCGCGUGUAUGAAGAAGGCCUUAGGGUUGUAAAGUACUUUCAUCGGGGAGGAAAAAACAAAACUAAUAAUUUUAUUUCUUGACGUUACCCGAAAAAGAAGCACCGGCUAACUCCGUGCCAGCAGCCGCGGUAAUACGGAGGGUGCUAGCGUUAAUCAGAAUUACUGGGCGUAAAGAGCACGUAGGUGGUUUUUUAAGUUCAGAUGUGAAAUCCCUGGGCUUAACCUAGGAACUGCAUUUUGAAACUGAAAUACUAGAGUAUCGUAGAGGGAGGUAGAAUUCUAGGUGUAGCGGUGAAAUGCGUAGAUAUCUGGAGGAAUACCUGUGGCGAAAGCGGCCUCCUAAACGAAUACUGACACUGAGGUGCGAAAGCGUGGGGAGCAAACAGGGAUUAGAUACC